Molecule: long non-coding RNA, 405 nt
Filed under: Chlamydomonas reinhardtii
Lineage: Eukaryota; Viridiplantae; Chlorophyta; Chlorophyceae; Chlamydomonadales; Chlamydomonadaceae
Description: long non-coding RNA (CREI_LNC001122)
Source: RNAcentral
GUGAGCGGGCGGGCCAUAAGGCCCUGCCAGCUCCGCAAGGAACAGCACCGACACACCGCUAUCGCAGCUGCAGCCGCCGCGGCCGCAGGUGAGACCGCGCCCCCCGCCCCCCGCCCCCCUGCCCCCCCAUGCAGGCUGUACUGCGGCGGCUGUUGAGCUGGCAAGCAUGUGUGUUGGUGGCUGUGGGCCAUGCGUGCUAGACAGGUGGUGCGGAAUAGCGCGGCGGCUGUGGAGAAUUCUUUGCUCCUGCGCCUGUCUACUGAUGGGGGGACGUGGCCGUUGCAGGUGCUAACGUAGAUGGCUCGGCAGCUUGAGUCGCGCUAGGAUGCGUGAGUCGGAUGUCUAGGACGUGGACAUGGACAUGGCCGUGCACCAUUGUUGGUGCACGUGCACCGAGCCCGACGG